Molecule: small RNA, 17 nt
Filed under: Arabidopsis thaliana (thale cress)
Lineage: Eukaryota; Viridiplantae; Streptophyta; Magnoliopsida; Brassicales; Brassicaceae
Description: ATSL212670
Source: RNAcentral
GAAAGACUAAUCGAAUA